GGACCAAGGAGUCUAGCAUGUGCGCGAGUCAUUGGGAUAUUUACGAMACCUAAAGGCGCAAUGAAAGUGAAGGUUCGCCCUGCGCGANCCGAGGGAGGAUGGACGAUCCCGAGGGAUCGUCCCGCACUCCCGGGGCGUCUCGCUCUCAUCGCGAGAAGAGGCGCACCCAGAGCGUACACGCUGGGACCCGAAAGAUGGUGAACUAUGCCUGGUCAGGACGAAGUCAGGGGAAACCCUGAUGGAGGUCCGUAGCGAUUCUGACGUGCAAAUCGAUCGUCGGAACUGGGUAUAGGGGCGAAAGACUAAUCGAACCAUCUAGUAGCUGGUUCCCUCCGAAGUUUCCCUCAGGAUAGCUGGCGCUCGCUUCUCGCGAGUCUCAUUCGGUAAAGAGAAUGAUUAGAGGCAUUGGGGUCGAAACGGCCUCAACCUAUUCUCAAACUUUAAAUGGGUGAGAUCUCCGGCUUGCUUGAACUGUGAAGCCGCGAGAUAUCGGAUCAGAGUGCCAAGUGGGCCACUUUUGGUAAGCAGAACUGGCGCUGUGGGAUGAACCAAACGCUGAGUUAAAGCGCCUAAAUCGACGCUUAUGGGAUACCAUGAAAGGCGUUGGUAACUUAAGACAGCAGGACGGUG
RNAcentral lists this ribosomal RNA (630 nucleotides) under Hymenoplia rugulosa. Its description in RNAcentral is "eukaryotic LSU rRNA". It matches the Rfam family "Eukaryotic large subunit ribosomal RNA", at positions 663 to 1250 of the family's 3401-position model. Lineage: Eukaryota; Metazoa; Arthropoda; Insecta; Coleoptera; Scarabaeidae. The record is from RNAcentral.